RNAcentral lists this ribosomal RNA (494 nucleotides) under uncultured bacterium. RNAcentral describes it as "SSU rRNA". It matches the Rfam family "Bacterial small subunit ribosomal RNA", at positions 26 to 518 of the family's 1533-position model. The record is from RNAcentral.
AGGACGAACGCUGGCGGCGUGCUUAACACAUGCAAGUCGAGCGGAAAGGCCCUUCGGGGUACUCGAGCGGCGAACGGGUGAGUAACACGUGAGCAAUCUGCCCUUAGCUUCGGGAUAGCCCCGGGAAACCGGGAUUAAUACCGAAUAUGACCUCGGCCGACAUCGGCCCUGGUGGAAAGUUUUUCGGCUAGGGAUGAACUCGCGGCCUAUCAGCUUGUUGGUGGGGUAAUGGCCUACCAAGGCGACGACGGGUAGCCGGCCUGAGAGGGCGACCGGCCACACUGGGACUGAGACACGGCCCAGACUCCUACGGGAGGCAGCAGUCGAGAAUUUUUCUCAAUGGGGGAAACCCUGAAGGAGCGACGCCGCGUGGAGGAUGAAGGUCUUCGGAUUGUAAACUCCUGUCAUUGGUGAACAAGAUUUUGCCGUUAACUGCGGUGGAAUUUGAUAGUAGCCGAAGAGGAAGGGACGGCUAACUCUGCGCCAGCAGCCGC